Molecule: ribosomal RNA, 253 nt
Filed under: uncultured bacterium
Lineage: Bacteria
Description: partial 16S ribosomal RNA
Rfam family: Bacterial small subunit ribosomal RNA
Source: RNAcentral
UACGGGGGGGGCAAGCGUUGUUCGGAAUUACUGGGCGUAAAGGGCUCGUAGGUGGCCCCAUAAGUCAGACGUGAAAUCCCUCGGCUCAACCGAGGAACUGCGUCUGAGACUGCGGGGCUUGAAUCCGGGAGAGGGAUGCGGAAUUCCAGGUGUAGCGGUGAAAUGCGUAGAUAUCGGGAGGAACACCAGUGGCGAAGGCGGCCAUCUGGACCGGUUCUGACGCUGAGGCGCGAAAGCGUGGGGAGCAAACAGG